GAUGAACGCUGGCGGCGUGCCUAACACAUGCAAGUCGAGCGAACAGACGAGGAGCUUUUUCCUUUGCCGUUAGCGGCGGACGGGCGAGUAACACGUGCAUCACCUACUUAUUAUUCUGGGAUAACUUCGGGAAACCGCAGAUACUAACGCCGAAUAUAUUCUACCGCAUGGUUCAAUAGUGCUACACGCCUUUCCCGUUUGUUUUAGACGGUUCCGCGUCGCAUUAGCUAGUUGGUAAGGUAACGGCUUACCAAGGCGACGAUGCGUAGCUGACCUGAGAGGAUGAUCAGCCACACUGGAACUGAGACACGGUCCAGACUCCUACGGGAGGCAGCAGUGGGGAAUCUUCCGCAAUGGGCGAAAGCCUGACGGAGCAACGCCGCGUGAGUGAUGAAGGUCUUCGGAUCGUAAAGCUCUGUUAUUAGGGAAGAACAGAUGUGUAAGUAACUAUGCACGUCUUGACGGUACCUAAUGAGUAAGCCACGGCUAACUACGUG
RNAcentral lists this ribosomal RNA (497 nucleotides) under uncultured bacterium. Its description in RNAcentral is "partial 16S ribosomal RNA". It matches the Rfam family "Bacterial small subunit ribosomal RNA", at positions 28 to 507 of the family's 1533-position model. The record is from RNAcentral.